This is a regulatory RNA element of Bacilli bacterium VT-13-104, 147 nucleotides long. It matches the Rfam family "FMN riboswitch aptamer (RFN element)". From Rfam's summary of the family: The RFN element is a highly conserved domain that is found frequently in the 5'-untranslated regions of prokaryotic mRNAs that encode for flavin mononucleotide (FMN) biosynthesis and transport proteins. This element is a metabolite-dependent riboswitch that directly binds FMN in the absence of proteins. Lineage: Bacteria; Bacillati; Bacillota; Bacilli. The record is from Rfam.
AUAUUCCUUCGGGGCAGGGUGAAAUUCCCUACCGGCGGUGAUGAAGUAAUGCUUCAAAGUCCGUGACCCGUGCGGUUAUGAUACCAAGCGGUGGAUCUGGUGAGAAUCCGGAACCGACAGUUAAAGUCUGGAUGGGAGAAGGAAUUU